RNAcentral lists this ribosomal RNA (478 nucleotides) under uncultured bacterium. Its description in RNAcentral is "bacterial SSU rRNA". It matches the Rfam family "Bacterial small subunit ribosomal RNA", at positions 364 to 832 of the family's 1533-position model. The record is from RNAcentral.
UUUCGCAAUGCCCGAAAGGGUGACGAAGCGACGCCGCGUGGGUGAGGAAGGCCCUCGGGUUGUAAAACCCUGUCAGGAGUUAAGAAAUGUAAGUGCGCUAAUAUCGCAUUUAUUUGACGAAGGCUCCAAAGGAAGCCACGGCUAACUCUGUGCCAGCAGCCGCGGUAAUACAGAGGUGGCAAGCGUUGUUCGGAAUUAUUGGGCGUAAAGAGCACGUAGGUGGGUUUGCAAGUCAGAUGUGAAAGCCUUCUGUUCAACGGAAGAAUUGCAUCUGAAACUGCAAGUCUUGAGUGUAGGAGGGGAGAAUGGAACUUCUGGUGGAGCGGUGAAAUGCGUAGAUAUCAGAAGGAACGCCGGCGGCGAAAGCGAUUCUCUGGCCUAUUACUGACACUCAGUGUGCGAAAGCUAGGGGAGCAAACGGGAUUAGAUACCCCGGUAGUCCUAGCCGUAAACGAUGGGCACUAAGUAGAGGGGUUUU